UUUAUGGAGAGUUUGAUCCUGGCUCAGGAUGAACGCUGGCGGCGUGCCUAAUACAUGCAAGUCGAGCGAACGGACGAGAAGCUUGCUUCUCUGAUGUUAGCGGCGGACGGGUGAGUAACACGUGGAUAACCUACCUAUAAGACUGGGAUAACUUCGGGAAACCGGAGCUAAUACCGGAUAAUAUUUUGAACCGCAUGAUUCAAAAGUGAAAGACGG
This 216-nucleotide ribosomal RNA is filed under the name Staphylococcus aureus. Its description in RNAcentral is "partial 16S ribosomal RNA". It matches the Rfam family "Bacterial small subunit ribosomal RNA", at positions 1 to 210 of the family's 1533-position model. Lineage: Bacteria; Bacillati; Bacillota; Bacilli; Caryophanales; Staphylococcaceae. The record is from RNAcentral.